This 71-nucleotide transfer RNA is filed under the name Rubrobacter sp. RNAcentral describes it as "tRNA-Cys". It matches the Rfam family "tRNA". From Rfam's summary of the family: Transfer RNA (tRNA) molecules are approximately 80 nucleotides in length. Their secondary structure includes four short double-helical elements and three loops (D, anti-codon, and T loops). Further hydrogen bonds mediate the characteristic L-shaped molecular structure. tRNAs have two regions of fundamental functional importance: the anti-codon, which is responsible for specific mRNA codon recognition, and the 3' end, to which the tRNAs corresponding amino acid is attached (by aminoacyl-tRNA synthetases). tRNAs cope with the degeneracy of the genetic code in two manners: having more than one tRNA (with a specific anti-codon) for a particular amino acid; and 'wobble' base-pairing, i.e. permitting non-standard base-pairing at the 3rd anti-codon position. The record is from RNAcentral. RNAcentral also lists the same sequence under 2 other names. Lineage: Bacteria; Bacillati; Actinomycetota; Rubrobacteria; Rubrobacterales; Rubrobacteraceae.
GAUCGCGUGGCCGAGAGGUAAGGCGGCGGGCUGCAACCCCGUCCACGCAGGUUCGAUUCCUGCCGCGGUCU